CAGUUCGAAUACUGACCCUGAUAAAUAUUAAAGGGCUGCAGUAUUUUGACUGUACAAAGGUAGCAUAAUCAAUAGUCUUUUAAUUGAAGACUAGAAUGAAAGAUUGAAUGAAAUAUAAACUGUCUUUUUAAUAAAAUUAAAAAUUAAUUUUUUGGUUAAAAAGCUAAAAUAAAUUUAAAAGACGAGAAGACCCUAUAGAGUUUAAUAAUUAAAUAAAUUUUUUAAUUAUAUAAAAAUAUUUAUAAAAAAUAAAUUUAAUUAUUUUAUUGGGGUGAUAAAAAAAUUAAAUGAACUUUUUUUAAAAUUUUACAAAGAUAAUUGAAUAAGUGAUCCAUUAAUUAUGAUUAAAAGAAUAAAUUACCUUAGGGAUAACAGCGUAAUAUUUUUUUUUAGUACAAAUAAAAAAAAAAGUUUGCGACCUCGAUGUUGGAUUAAAAUAAAAAUUAAAUGCAAAAGUUUAAAAUUUUGAUCUGUUCGAUCAUUAAAAUCUUACAUGAUCUGAGUUCAAACCGGGGGGG
RNAcentral lists this ribosomal RNA (518 nucleotides) under Abisara saturata. Its description in RNAcentral is "partial 16S ribosomal RNA". The stretch from base 368 to 518 matches the Rfam family "Archaeal large subunit ribosomal RNA", at positions 2542 to 2693 of the family's 2987-position model. Lineage: Eukaryota; Metazoa; Arthropoda; Insecta; Lepidoptera; Riodinidae. The record is from RNAcentral.